UGCAUCUAAAGUUGAUUGAAG
Caenorhabditis elegans is the source of this 21-nucleotide non-coding RNA. The record is from Ensembl. Lineage: Eukaryota; Metazoa; Nematoda; Chromadorea; Rhabditida; Rhabditidae.